Molecule: transfer RNA, 65 nt
Filed under: Siboglinum fiordicum
Lineage: Eukaryota; Metazoa; Annelida; Polychaeta; Sabellida; Siboglinidae
Description: tRNA-Trp
Source: RNAcentral
AUGAUCUUAAGUUAAUACAAACUAAAUACUUUCAAAGUAUUAAAUGAAACAUAUUUCAAAUCAUA